Molecule: ribosomal RNA, 253 nt
Filed under: uncultured bacterium
Lineage: Bacteria
Description: partial 16S ribosomal RNA
Rfam family: Bacterial small subunit ribosomal RNA
Source: RNAcentral
UACAGAGGUCUCAAGCGUUGUUCGGAUUCAUUGGGCGUAAAGGGUGCGUAGGUGGCGCCGUAAGUCGGAUGUGAAAUUUCGGAGCUUAACUCCGAAACUGCAUUCGAUACUGCGGUGCUUGAGGACUGGAGAGGAGACUGGAAUUCAUAGUGUAGCAGUGAAAUGCGUAGAGAUCAUGAGGAAGACCAGUGGCGAAGGCGGGUCUCUGGGCCGUAACUGACGCUGAGGAGCGAAAGCGUGGGGAGCGAACAGG